RNAcentral lists this ribosomal RNA (1343 nucleotides) under uncultured bacterium. RNAcentral's name for it is "16S ribosomal RNA". It matches the Rfam family "Bacterial small subunit ribosomal RNA", at positions 28 to 1378 of the family's 1533-position model. The record is from RNAcentral.
GACGAACGCUGGCGGCGUGCUUAACACAUGCAAGUCGAACGGAAAGGCCCUGCUUUUGUGGGGUGCUCGAGUGGCGAACGGGUGAGUAACACGUGAGUAACCUGCCCUUGACUUUGGGAUAACUUCAGGAAACUGGGGCUAAUACCGGAUAGGAGCUCCUGCUGCAUGGUGGGGGUUGGAAAGUUUCGGCGGUUGGGGAUGGACUCGCGGCUUAUCAGCUUGUUGGUGGGGUAGUGGCUUACCAAGGCUUUGACGGGUAGCCGGCCUGAGAGGGUGACCGGCCACAUUGGGACUGAGAUACGGCCCAGACUCCUACGGGAGGCAGCAGUGGGGAAUAUUGCACAAUGGGCGGAAGCCUGAUGCAGCAACGCCGCGUGCGGGAUGACGGCCUUCGGGUUGUAAACCGCUUUCGCCUGUGACGAAGCGUGAGUGACGGUAAUGGGUAAAGAAGCACCGGCUAAUUACGUGCCAGCAGCCGCGGUGAUACGUAGGGUGCGAGCGUUGUCCGGAUUUAUUGGGCGUAAAGGGCUCGUAGGUGGUUGAUCGCGUCGGAAGUGUAAUCUUGGGGCUUAACCCUGAGCGCGCUUUCGAUACGGGUUGACUUGAGGAAGGUAGGGGAGAAUGGAAUUCCUGGUGGAGCGGUGGAAUGCGCAGAUAUCAGGAGGAACACCAGUGGCGAAGGCGGUUCUCUGGGCCUUUCCUGACGCUGAGGAGCGAAAGCGUGGGGAGCGAACAGGCUUAGAUACCCUGGUAGUCCGCGCUGUAAACGGUGGGUACUAGGUGUGGGGUCCAUUCCACGGGUUCCGUGCCGUAGCUAACGCUUUAAGUACCCCGCCUGGGGAGUACGGCCGCAAGGCUAAAACUCAAAGGAAUUGACGGGGCCCCGCACAAGCGGCGGAGCAUGCGGAUUAAUUCGAUGCAACGCGUAGAACCUUACCUGGGUUUGACAUGGAUCGGGAGUGCUCAGAGAUGGGUGUGCCUCUUUUGGGGUCGGUUCACAGGUGGUGCAUGGCUGUCGUCAGCUCGUGUCGUGAGAUGUUGGGUUAAGUCCCGCAACGAGCGCAACCCUUGUUCACUGUUGCCAGCACGUUAUGGUGGGGACUCAGUGGAGACCGCCGGGGUCAAUUCGGAGGAAGGUGGGGAUGACGUCAAGUCGUCAUGCCCCUUAUGUCCAGGGCUUCACGCAUGCUACAAUGGCUGGUACAGAGAGUGGCGAGCCUGUGAGGGUGAGCGAAUCUCGGAAAGCCGGUCUCAGUUCGGAUUGGGGUCUGCAACUCGACCUCAUGAAGUCGGAGUCGCUAGUAAUCGCAGAUCAGCAACGCUGCGGUGAAUACGUUCCCGGG